GAGGAAUGUGGCGCCUGGGUACUCCGAGCCGGCUCCUUGGAAACGGCUGGACCCGCCCACCAGAGCCUUAAAGCAACAGUGCUCCCACGACGGGCUUGUCCUAGUGGUCCUGAGGAACGGUCCCAGAAUUCCUGAAGGCAGAGGUCGGCUGCCAAGUCCCACAGUCCACAUGCUCCCUCUUCCUCACUCGACUUUAAGUUCCCUGGAGGAACGACAACUCCACUGCUUUUAGCCAGCGUGCAAGUGGUUCCCAGGACCAUUUCAGAGAAAGGGAUUGUGUGGUGAGACCUUACUAACCUGGCCUAAUCCUCCCUGGGCCUGUCAUGUUUUUGUCGAAAACUGGGAACAGUACUCUGGGCUUCUAAAGAAUCCAUGAGACCAUCUAUCAGUGUCCGAGGCAGGGCCCGGACUCUCUGCAAGGGAACAGCGGGCCGAACCUGCAGAUCCACAAUGACUGCUGAUGACCCUAGAGGCCUCCACAGAAAAACCCACCAGUGGAACAGAGCAGCGGACACAGGACUGCAGCAGCUGUGUCAUUCCUUGUGCCUCCUUUUCUUCAUGGCAAAGCGAUCCUCUCAGAAGAGAAACCAGACCUCCAAGGACACGUUGAAGGGCAGGAGUGGGACAUCAGGCAUCAGAAGGGCUGAGCUCCCUUCAGAGACCACAGGGGAGGACCCCUCUUUGCAUCUUCCAGCUGCUGGUGGCUCCUGGUGUCUUGCAUCUGCUGGGAGUGGUUGUGUGUGUCCUGAAGACAGAAGAGGAGACACAGACGGAGAAGAAGCCAUGUGAUGAUGGAUACAGGUUGGAGUGAGGCAUCUAUAAACCAAGGAACACCAAGGAUGCUGGAGCCUCCGGAAAGUGGGAGAGGGAUGCGGACCAGGGUCUCUCUCAGAGCCUCAGAGGGAGCCGAGCUUGCUAACAUCUGGAUUCCAGACUUCUGGUCUCCGGAACUGCGGGACAAG
Molecule: long non-coding RNA, 962 nt
Filed under: Heterocephalus glaber (naked mole-rat)
Lineage: Eukaryota; Metazoa; Chordata; Mammalia; Rodentia; Bathyergidae
Description: lncRNA (ENSHGLG00100046199.1)
Source: RNAcentral